Molecule: ribosomal RNA, 680 nt
Filed under: Chlamydomonadales sp. LBA 8
Lineage: Eukaryota; Viridiplantae; Chlorophyta; Chlorophyceae; Chlamydomonadales
Description: eukaryotic LSU rRNA
Rfam family: 5.8S ribosomal RNA (bases 250-403)
Source: RNAcentral
AAGGUUUCCGUAGGUGAACCUGCGGAAGGGAUCAUUGAAUCUAUCAAAAUCCACAACCACGCGAACCAUUGACUGUUGGCCUGUGCUGCCGUAACAAGCAGCAUGCGGCCUCUCGUCCCCUCACAGGGAUGCGGAGGUCGGGCCUUUGGGCAACCAGAGGUCGGUCUUUACUAACCAACCAACACCAAACCAUAACUUCUAAAGCGAGUCGAUUGUCUGGCUUAGAGCCAGCGAUCAUCUAACCAAGACAACUCUCAACAACGGAUAUCUUGGCUCUCGCAACGAUGAAGAACGCAGCGAAAUGCGAUACGUAGUGUGAAUUGCAGAAAUACGUGAACCAUCGAAUCUUUGAACGCAUAUUGCGCUCGAGUCUUCGGACAAGAGCAUGUCUGCCUCAGCGUCGCUUUAAACCCUCACCCUCUCUCCCCUCAGGGAGUAAGAGCACGGUGGAACUGGCUUUCCCAUCUGCAUUCAGUUGCUGGAUGGGUCGGCUGAAGAGCAGAGGUUGAUGCACGGACCCGCUAUGGGCCUCAGCUGGGUAGGCAACUUGCUUGCUAAUGCUUUAGCUGUUGGCUUGGGACUGUGCUGUCGGCCCAAACCAGGAAUCGCUCCUUCGGGACGAUUACUUUCUGCUUUCGACCUGAGCUCAGGCAAGAACACCCGCUGAACUUAAGCAUAUC